UUUUAAAUAAUUUAAUAAGAAUAAUAAAUUGUAAAUUUAUAAGUAGGUGUAUCCUUUUACUUU
RNAcentral lists this transfer RNA (63 nucleotides) under Obama sp. MAP-2014. RNAcentral's name for it is "tRNA-Tyr". The record is from RNAcentral. Lineage: Eukaryota; Metazoa; Platyhelminthes; Tricladida; Geoplanidae.